This 2568-nucleotide unclassified non-coding RNA is filed under the name Hevea brasiliensis (rubber tree). Lineage: Eukaryota; Viridiplantae; Streptophyta; Magnoliopsida; Malpighiales; Euphorbiaceae. The record is from RNAcentral.
ACUAGCUCUUCUUUCUUUUCUGUUUAUAAUUUACAAAGUCCUUAUUUUGUUUUGUCUUAUCAAAUCAUAUGUAAAAAUGAAGUAAUUUGCAGCGUCUUUCUCUAUAUCUUUUCUACCCUUGUUCUCUUCCUACAAAUUCUGCUUCUGAUGAUAUACGCGAACUAUCUCUUUCAUUCAAAACAGUCAUCUCCGUCAAUAAUACAAAGCAACGAAAAGUCGCACAAAGAAGCCAUAUAUAAUCUUAUUGACAACCUAAUUCUUAAGAAUUUCACAAAAUGGGCUCCAUGGUCUUGAUGGUUGAUGGGCUAAACAAUUUGGUGUCUGAAAAACGGCCUUUUCAUGGAUUUUUUUUUCCUGGUAGAAACUUUUACAACCUAUGAACCCACCGUUCAAGUCGAAGUUGCUUCAGAGGAGGUCCAAUAUUCGGCUUAGUCUUCUGAGGACACCGCCAUUUUCCAGCGAUCUCAGUGGCAUCGAUACGUUCCAAAUUGGUUCUUUCUGACAAUACCUUUCUUUCAAUGGCGUUAUUUCCACAAUCUGAGGUAAUUCUUUUAUUUCUUGAACAUUCUGAUAAAAUCUUUAGUGGCUUAUGCAAAGAAUUCUCUUCAUUUGUUAUCCAUCGGUUCUUGGUUGUCACAGAACCACUGUCCAGAACUUCUUUGCCUUCAUUUUCUUUGUUAUUGUUUUCACAAGUGGAUUUCUUAAUUAAAUCUCCAGCAACUUGAACAAAUUUCUGACUUGUUGUAGGUGAUCCAAGAUGUUCAUCUACUCCCUUUUCAGCCUCAGUUUUCAAGUUCUCUGCAAGAUCCUUCAUUAGAUUCAACUUCGUUUGAAAUGGCCUAGCAUUAGCGCUUGAAUUUGUAUUCCUCUGGCACGUUACUAAAAGAGCUUCUUGGAGGAAAUUUUGCUUCUGUUGCGGUUUAUAUGGAGGACAAUCAUCAUUCAAGCUUGCUUUCUCAAUAUCAUUUGUUGAACUUACACGAUGACUGGGAAAUAUUUUGUCUUCCAAGCUCUGUCUCCUUUCACAGCACAAAUUAUCCCGAGCAGAUGAGUUCCCAUUCACAAGAGCCCUCAUGCCCUUAUUUAGAGACUGGUUUUCCUGCUCAUCAUCUCUCAAGGAUCCAAAAAAAAAUCCUUUUGAGAAUACUUUCUCAUCAAUAAUCGAUUCAUCAGUAAUUCUGGUUUGUCCAAAUUUCCUCAAAUUCCUUUCUUUCUCAUUGUUAUUGUGUUGAUUGACCAAAUCCUCACAAUCAGCUUCUUUAUCAACAAAUCCAUUGCUUCCUGGAGAUUCAUACACAUAACUAGAGAACCAGUUUCUAAUAUCUGGUGGCUCAGAAAGAGCUGAAGGUGACUCUGAAGGAUGUGGAACCUCAUUCGAAGGUUUGUUCACACGUGUGUCUUCAAAUGAAUUCUCACAAUUCACAAGCCCAUUUGAGCACAGUCCCCCUCCAGUAUCAACUUCAUUGCUGUUCCAAGAAUUCCUUGACUCAUAAUUGUCUUCUCUUUUUCUUUUACUUCCCUCAAAAGCAAAUCCUUCUUUCGCACAUUCACUUUCUUUAGUAACUGAUUCUUUAAAAUCAUCAAGUGUAUUCAGCACAGGAGAUUCAUACACAUAACUAGAAAAACAGUUUCUGAUGUGAGGUGGAUCUGACAGAAGAAAUAGAACAGGGGUUAUUAACAUUAUCACAACUUUGACAUAUUCUCCCAGAUCAUAAAAUUAUCACAAACAGUGACAAAUUUUCAUAAAAUUAGAAGAAUUAACCUAACCGGAAAGGAGUGACAACGAGCACAUCGAAUCUGUUGUCUGAAAAAGAAAGAGCAUGCAUUAGAUAUGAAAAACCUUUACCAUUUACUAACAUUAUUGAUUGCAGAAAAAAUGUGGACAACCGAUAGUGGAGGAGAAACGAAUACCAUUGCAAUUAUCAACAAAAAAAGGAGGAAAUCAACGGCAUUAAGAAUAAGUAAAACACAGUAAUGAAGUAAAAUUCAUACUUUGCCCAUUAAACUGUAAUCUUCAAAUAUAGGCUAUCAGAUCCCAAUACAUGCUAUUAGAAAGGAAAUACCAGUUUAAGCUAUUCAUGACAAUAGAAUAACCUAAUACUGAUUUUCAAGAUUGGCACCAACAAAAGAAAAUGAAUGAGGCAAAAGGAAAAUUGUGCAAUCGAGCAAGACAGAAAUUGAGAGAUAAAGAGAAUACCCCAAUUAAAGAUUGGUGUUCAUGCUUAUCAGCAGUGUCACCGUUUCUUCUAGAUUCACCCAAAUGUCCUUCCUUUUCUAUGCUUCUCUCUCCAGCAGAAGAAAACCCAUCUCCCUCACACUCACUUUCUUUAAACUCAUAAGUAUCCAGCACAAAAGAUUCAUAUCUAUAACUAGGAAACCAGUUUCUUAUGUCGGGAGGCUCCGAAAGAAGUGAAAGCGAGUGAAACGAAUUAGGAGCCUCCGAAUCAGAGGUGUUUUCCAUCAGAUCUCUCCCUGAUGCAUAAGAAUGCGCACUUUUUAUCUCCAAUGCAGCUACAAAUUAAGGUUUUAGCUAAACUUUUCAAAAUCUACCGGCAAAAUUUGGCGCUG